AUGCCGUCGGUUCAAAGGCUGACCGUUCAUAUGCCUGGCAUGAAUACUGUCUACUAUCGUGCUGGUGCUGACCUCACGAAAAUUGUUGAUUCUGACUUCUUGCGAAAGACUAUGCUUACCGAAUGGUUUGUUGCAAAUGAGAUGUUCGAAGAUGCCCGAUCAUUAACUUAUUGCGAUUUUCCAUCUGCUUGGACCUGGGACGCUAAAAGUAGGUCAUGGCAUCCAAGGGGUAGGGGUGAAAAGAUUGGCCGCGUAUAUUAUGUACAUCCUUUGAGUGGUGAGUUGUAUUACUUGCGCAUGCUUUUGAUGAUUGUUAAGGGGGCUAGGUCAUUCGAAGAUCUCCGAACAUAUGUUGCUCGUCUUUAUCACACCUUUAAAGAAGCUUGUGCCGCGCAUGGUUUGUUAGGAGACGAUAACGAGUGGUACAUAGAGUUUGAUGAAGCGGUUGUCUGGGGGUUUGGGCAUUGA
RNAcentral lists this ribosomal RNA (468 nucleotides) under Triticum aestivum (bread wheat). RNAcentral describes it as "partial small subunit ribosomal RNA". Lineage: Eukaryota; Viridiplantae; Streptophyta; Magnoliopsida; Poales; Poaceae. The record is from RNAcentral.